RNAcentral lists this ribosomal RNA (245 nucleotides) under uncultured Bacteroidales bacterium. Its description in RNAcentral is "partial 16S ribosomal RNA". It matches the Rfam family "Bacterial small subunit ribosomal RNA", at positions 524 to 768 of the family's 1533-position model. The record is from RNAcentral. Lineage: Bacteria; Pseudomonadati; Bacteroidota; Bacteroidia; Bacteroidales.
UACGGAGGAUGCAAGCGUUAUCCGGAUUUAUUGGGUUUAAAGGGUGCGUAGGCGGGUUUUUAAGCGUGAGGUGAAAUGCUCCGGCUCAACCGGAGAACUGCCUCGCGAACUGGGGACCUUGAAUGACACUGCCGUGGGAGGAAUGUGUGGUGUAGCGGUGAAAUGCAUAGAGAUCACACAGAACACCGAUUGCGAAGGCAUCUCACGAAGUGUUGAUUGACGCUGAGGCACGAAAGCGUGGGGAU